Molecule: long non-coding RNA, 437 nt
Organism: Bos taurus (domestic cattle)
Lineage: Eukaryota; Metazoa; Chordata; Mammalia; Artiodactyla; Bovidae
Source: Ensembl
UGGGGAGGCAGGUGAAAUGGACACACAGAUUGACCCAGCAGCUACAUAAGUGGUGUGACCUCAAGUUCAAAGACGAAGAUGUUCCUUCUGCCGCAGGCUUACAACCGCCCAGAUGGUUCGCCUUCCUCCCCCUUUAGGGGGUGGGCACAUCUCCCGGCAGCUCUGGCAAAACUACCCCAUUUACCUGGUGCUAGACUCGGGGCAAAACCGUCUUCACGUGGACUCACAGUUUCCACAUGGACAUCUGACACUCAGCGAGCCCACUGAGGCAACGCAUGAGAGGCGGCUGGAAGUGACAGCAGACAACAUCGCAACGUGCUACCUGCUCGCAAAACAAGAAGACAGACCCAUUCGCCAGCCGCGGGAACGGCUGCUUUCCUUUGUCCUUUCUCUACGGCUCAGAGAUGGGUGAGCUCAGGAGAGAAACACAAGCAGUG